GACGAACGCUGGCGGCGUGCUUAAUACAUGCAAGUCAACUGAACUUAAGGUAGCAAUAUUUUAAGGGAGGUGGCGCACGGGUGAGUAACACGUAGGUAAUCUGCCUUUAGGUCUCACACAACCUACCGAAAGGUAGGCUAAUAUCAGAUGAUGCAGCGGCUCGACAUCGAGACAGUUGUUAAACCUUCGGGGCCUAAAGAUGAGCCUGCGUCUGAUUAGGUAGUUGGCGGAGUAAUAGCCCACCAAGCCUGCGAUCAGUAGCUGGUCUGAGAGGAUGAUCAGCCACACUGGAACUGAGACACGGUCCAGACUCCUACGGGAGGCAGCAGUAAGGAAUAUUGCUCAAUGGCCGAAAAGGCUGAAGCAGCAACGCCGCGUGGAGGACGAAAUACUUUUGUAUGUAAACUCCUGUAAGAAGGGAAAAAUAUGCAGUUUUUCUGCAUUGAUUGUACCUUCAGAGUAAGCCCCGGCUAACUACGUGCCAGCAGCCG
RNAcentral lists this ribosomal RNA (491 nucleotides) under uncultured bacterium. Its description in RNAcentral is "bacterial SSU rRNA". It matches the Rfam family "Bacterial small subunit ribosomal RNA", at positions 28 to 517 of the family's 1533-position model. The record is from RNAcentral.